Molecule: ribosomal RNA, 499 nt
Filed under: uncultured bacterium
Lineage: Bacteria
Description: bacterial SSU rRNA
Rfam family: Bacterial small subunit ribosomal RNA
Source: RNAcentral
AACAAACGCUGGCGGCGUGCCUAACACAUGCAAGUCGAACGCGAAAAUCGGCUUCGGCCGAUGAGUAAAGUGGCGCACGGGUGAGUAACGCGUGGAUAAUCUACCCUUCAGUUGGGAAUAACUUAUCGAAAGGUGAGCUAAUACCGAAUAAAAACUGCCUGACCACGGUCGGGUAGUCAAAGAUAGCCUCUGCUUGCAAGCUUUCGCUGAAUGAUGAGUCCGCGUACCAUUAGCUAGUUGGUGGGGUAAUGGCCUACCAAGGCGACGAUGGUUAGCUGGUCUGAGAGGAUGAUCAGCCACACUGGAACUGAGACACGGUCCAGACUCCUACGGGAGGCAGCAGUGAGGAAUCUUGCGCAAUGGGGGAAACCCUGACGCAGCAACGCCGCGUGAGUGAGGAAGGUCUUCGGAUCGUAAAGCUCUGUCGGGUGGAAAGAAAUGUAUGGGGUUAAUAGCCUUCAUACUUGACGGUACCACCAAAGGAAGCACCGGCUAACCG